ACUCCUACGGGAGGCAGCAGUGGGGAAUUUUGGACAAUGGGCGAAAGCCUGAUCCAGCCAUGCCGCGUGCAGGAUGAAGGCCUUCGGGUUGUAAACUGCUUUUGUACGGAACGAAACGGCCUUUUCUAAUAAAGAGGGCUAAUGACGGUACCGUAAGAAUAAGCACCGGCUAACUACGUGCCAGCAGCCGCGGUAAUACGUAGGGUGCAAGCGUUAAUCGGAAUUACUGGGCGUAAAGCGUGCGCAGGCGGUUAUGUAAGACAGUUGUGAAAUCCCCGGGCUCAACCUGGGAACUGCAUCUGUGACUGCAUAGCUAGAGUACGGUAGAGGGGGAUGGAAUUCCGCGUGUAGCAGUGAAAUGCGUAGAUAUGCGGAGGAACACCGAUGGCGAAGGCAAUCCCCUGGACCUGUACUGACGCUCAUGCACGAAAGCGUGGGGAGCAAACAGGAUUAGAAACCCGGGUAGUCCCAUG
Molecule: ribosomal RNA, 473 nt
Filed under: uncultured organism
Description: partial 16S ribosomal RNA
Rfam family: Bacterial small subunit ribosomal RNA
Source: RNAcentral